UUGGGCAAGUCACUUAACCCCAAUUGCCUAAAAAAACCAAAAAAACACAAAAGAAUAACUCGUGCAUGGCCCCUGCACCAGGAUGACACACAAAUUCAUAAAGCAUUCAAUAUUUUU
RNAcentral lists this small nuclear RNA (117 nucleotides) under Vombatus ursinus (common wombat). The record is from RNAcentral. Lineage: Eukaryota; Metazoa; Chordata; Mammalia; Diprotodontia; Vombatidae.